RNAcentral lists this ribosomal RNA (660 nucleotides) under uncultured Pseudomonadaceae bacterium. RNAcentral describes it as "SSU rRNA". It matches the Rfam family "Bacterial small subunit ribosomal RNA", at positions 121 to 776 of the family's 1533-position model. The record is from RNAcentral. Lineage: Bacteria; Pseudomonadati; Pseudomonadota; Gammaproteobacteria; Pseudomonadales; Pseudomonadaceae.
GGAAUCUGCCUGGUAGUGGGGGAUAACGUCCGGAAACGGGCGCUAAUACCGCAUACGUCCUGAGGGAGAAAGUGGGGGAUCUUCGGACCUCACGCUAUCAGAUGAGCCUAGGUCGGAUUAGCUAGUUGGUGGGGUAAAGGCCUACCUAGGCGACGAUCCGUAACUGGUCUGAGAGGAUGAUCAGUCACACUGGAACUGAGACACGGUCCAGACUCCUACGGGAGGCAGCAGUGGGGAAUAUUGGACAAUGGGCGAAAGCCUGAUCCAGCCAUGCCGCGUGUGUGAAGAAGGUCUUCGGAUUGUAAAGCACUUUAAGUUGGGAGGAAGGGCAGUAAGUUAAUACCUUGCUGUUUUGACGUUACCAACAGAAUAAGCACCGGCUAACUUCGUGCCAGCAGCCGCGGUAAUACGAAGGGUGCAAGCGUUAAUCGGAAUUACUGGGCGUAAAGCGCGCGUAGGCGGUUCAGCAAGUUGGAUGUGAAAUCCCCGGGCUCAACCUGGGAACUGCAUCCAAAACUACUGAGCUAGAGUACGGUAGAGGGUGGUGGAAUUUCCUGUGUAGCGGUGAAAUGCGUAGAUAUAGGAAGGAACACCAGUGGCGAAGGCGACCACCUGGACUGAUACUGACACUGAGGUGCGAAAGCGUGGGGAGCAAACAGG